GAGGGUAUAGCUCAGUGGUAGAGGGCGUGCUUAGCAUGUAUGCAGUCCUGGGUUCAAUCUCCAGCACCUCCA
This 72-nucleotide transfer RNA is filed under the name Camelus bactrianus (Bactrian camel). It matches the Rfam family "tRNA". From Rfam's summary of the family: Transfer RNA (tRNA) molecules are approximately 80 nucleotides in length. Their secondary structure includes four short double-helical elements and three loops (D, anti-codon, and T loops). The record is from Rfam by way of RNAcentral. Lineage: Eukaryota; Metazoa; Chordata; Mammalia; Artiodactyla; Camelidae. RNAcentral also lists the same sequence under 2 other names.